UUUGAUACAAAUCAAGGCACCAAAAGUAAAUGAUCUGCAAAGAGCAUAUCACAACAUUUGAAAAUUACAAAUAAUGUGGAACACUCAGACUCAUAUACCAUGUUGGUAACAAGUUUCGUAAGAUUAUAAAAAAUACAGAUAGUGUUGUAACUUAACUCUGCCAUCGUCGACCCGGCAAGGCCGAGAAGUAGCUCCCGCGCCCCCGGACCUUCCAUGAAAUCGUGGAAACCGCCUCGACGAUGGCUGGAGAUGAUGGUUCUAAAACAUGUACAAUGGAUAUUUGGGAUGACAUAACCUGGAGGGAUCUAACAUAAAUAUANUUGAAUCUCUAGAAGAACUUAUAUUUAGGAACGGAGGGAGUACAAGACAUGAUUUACACUCUUUUGUAGAAAAAGAACGUUGAGACAAUCACCAGCCUUUCACACGGUCACACCAUGCAAAAAAAGGAUUUAGCCAUGCCGAUCUCCCCUACCUAGCCGACAAACCGCAACAAGAAGUCGUCAAUCUAAAGCAUGAACCCUUGGUUUCCAUUGAUGAACUUGCAACAAUAAAUUUUGGCAUAGUUUCAAACAAAAAAAGAACUAUCUAUAAAUAUAUUAUGCUCAUUUGGUCUUUAAACGGGGCAUGUUCACCUGACCCUUUCUGAGAUGCAGCUGCAUGAUGAUUCUCCAUCUGUAACAUGUUAAAACCAUCCAUGGUAAAGCAAUGAAAUCCGUAGAACUAUAUAAUUGUUACAAUUGAUGUUAGACUCUAGACAUUCAUAAAGUCAGAAUAGGAUGAGUAAAUAGUUGCUUCCUAUUUGGAUUUAGAUCACAUCUUAGUUAAGAAAUACAUAGAUACAAAAUUUGUAGUACAUUACAGGGAGUAUUAGGUCAAGAUAGAAAAAGGCAAGAUACAUUUAAGAGGUUAAAAAAACAAAAUUAUUAUCAUGUCAUGGGGCAUUAUAAUAACUGAAUCAAUCACUUAGAACUUUUGGACAUCGCCGUAUCAAAAUAACGUUACCUACCUUUGUACAACGUAAUUAAUCGGGGCCAGAUCAACUUGUUUUAUGAAGGGCGUGAAAGUUGUUGGUGAGACAAAAAAAUUGUUGACACUCGUAUUUUUCCCACACAUAUAUGCGAAUAAGGAGAAACAUCAUCCUUCAGUAGAGCUGUGUUGAGGAAAUAUGAAAUAAACCUGUUAUGCUACGGGUCCGCUCCAAAAGAAUGAGAAGUUCUUUACGGCUUAAUGUGUGAAAGCCUUCCAUGUCUUGCUCUUCAGACUAGGAGAGUAGGAAUCGCUAGGAAUAUCAAAAUAUCAAUGGGUCCCUACAAGUUAUAAAGUAAACCCGAUGGUUGCACUUCCCUAGUUUCAGAAAGGGGAAGCAUAUAAAAGCCUAAAUAUAUAAAUAAAAGGUCUAAUCCAUUAUUAGCCAACAUCUCCUACGACUGAAUGUAAAUCGUUCCAAUUAAGAAGAAAUUAAACUAAAAAUAGAAGGACACUCCUCACAAAUAGCUAGCAAUACAUAGAUAUUGUGUUCACCUUGGAAAUAUGAACCCCAGGCUUCUAGGUGCUCUAGAACAUUUGAUACAAAUCAAGGCACCAAAAGUAAAUGAUCUGCAAAGAGCAUAUCACAACAUUUGAAAAUUACAAAUAAUGUGGAACACUCAGACUCAUAUACCAUGUUGGUAACAAGUUUCGUAAGAUUAUAAAAAAUACAGAUAGUGUUGUAACUUAACUCUGCCAUCGUCGACCCGGCAAGGCCGAGAAGUAGCUCCCGCGCCCCCGGACCUUCCAUGAAAUCGUGGAAACCGCCUCGACGAUGGCUGGAGAUGAUGGUUCUAAAACAUGUACAAUGGAUAUUUGGGAUGACAUAACCUGGAGGGAUCUAACAUAAAUAUAAGUCUUGGCCCUCAAAAUAUGCGGUGCUACACUGAAAUCAUUCACCUUGAUAUCUAGAUGGAAUUCAUAGUAGCGGAGCACAAUGUAAUUUAGUGACCGACUGGAUGUACCACAUAACUCAUGUGCUCUACUAGAAGGCUCUUCAAAUCAAUCGUGUAAAAGAUUGGAUCUUGACACCAAAUCACCAUGGUCUCCAACGACAAUUUUAGAUGAGCGAUUAAAAAACACAGUAGCACGCAUAGUCUUUGUUGCAGAACUAUCAUAAAAUACUUAGCAUAGAACCACCACAUGUUCUAACUCAC
Molecule: long non-coding RNA, 2183 nt
Filed under: Hordeum vulgare
Lineage: Eukaryota; Viridiplantae; Streptophyta; Magnoliopsida; Poales; Poaceae
Description: long non-coding RNA (HVUL_LNC003946)
Source: RNAcentral